Molecule: ribosomal RNA, 587 nt
Filed under: uncultured bacterium
Lineage: Bacteria
Description: partial 16S ribosomal RNA
Rfam family: Bacterial small subunit ribosomal RNA
Source: RNAcentral
UGGGGAAUUUUGGACAAUGGGGGAAACCCUGAUCCAGCCAUCCCGCGUGUGCGAUGAAGGCCUUCGGGUUGUAAAGCACUUUUGGCAGGAAAGAAACGUCGCGGGUUAAUACCCCGCGAAACUGACGGUACCUGCAGAAUAAGCACCGGCUAACUACGUGCCAGCAGCCGCGGUAAUACGUAGGGUGCAAGCGUUAAUCGGAAUUACUGGGCGUAAAGCGUGCGCAGGCGGUUCGGAAAGAAAGAUGUGAAAUCCCAGAGCUUAACUUUGGAACUGCAUUUUUAACUACCGGGCUAGAGUGUGUCAGAGGGAGGUGGAAUUCCGCGUGUAGCAGUGAAAUGCGUAGAUAUGCGGAGGAACACCGAUGGCGAAGGCAGCCUCCUGGGAUAACACUGACACUCAUGCACGAAAGCGUGGGGAGCAAACAGGAUUAGAUACCCUGGUAGUCCACGCCCUAAACGAUGUCAACUAGCUGUUGGGGCCUUCGGGCCUUGGUAGCGCAGCUAACGCGUGAAGUUGACCGCCUGGGGAGUACGGUCGCAAGAUUAAAAACUCAAAGGAAUUGACGGGGGCCAUAGCUGUUUCCU